Rosa rugosa (rugosa rose) is the source of this 469-nucleotide long non-coding RNA. RefSeq lists it as uncharacterized. The record is from RefSeq and is a predicted model, not a curated record. NCBI's taxonomy places the organism in Eukaryota, Viridiplantae, Streptophyta, Magnoliopsida, Rosales, Rosaceae. The transcript is spliced from 4 exons.
UUAAGUCACUCCCUGUGUCUAAAAGCUAGAGAGAGAAAGUAGAUCUCGCCCAACACUGCUUCCUUCAAACAAAACCCAGAUCGACGUUUCUUCCAAACAACCCAAAUCGAUGUUUGCGGCUUCUUGCAACGAAAUAGAGACAUCAUGUUUUGGGAGACCCUAGUUUUUUGAUGAGUUGAUUAUCAGCGAAAUUGAUUCUGGUAUUGGAGAUCUUCGAUGAUUCUGCCGGGCCAUCUUCAGAGCUUCAACUGCGUUUUAAGAGUUCGCCGCAAUAACAACAGGUUCUCCUGAUAUUUCAUUUACAGUGAUCGCCAGUUAUUUAGGAGUGACUUUUUGGAGAUUUGAUGAUAAUGAAGGAAAAGAUGCUUUGCCGAUGAACAUAUCUGGAGAUUAUGACUAAAAGUGAAUACUAUCACAUGGGAUUAGAACUCCUAAUAUUAUUAUCACUAAAUGUGACGAUUAGGUUAAA